Long non-coding RNA from Helianthus annuus (common sunflower), 1263 nucleotides. RefSeq lists it as uncharacterized. The transcript has 6 exons. The record is from RefSeq and is a predicted model, not a curated record. Lineage: Eukaryota; Viridiplantae; Streptophyta; Magnoliopsida; Asterales; Asteraceae.
UCAACAUUUUUUUUUCAACCAAAGAGACAGAAAACAAAGGCACUCAUCUGUCUCUCCCUAAAAUCAUCACCAUCGCUCUUCUUUCUCUCUGUAAAAUUCCCCUCUCUCUCUCUCUCUAAAGCAUCAUCACCACUCAUCUUUCUCUUAGUGACAUUGCAUUGUGGUGGCGGCAGUUUGGUGGUGGCAGUGGCGGUUGUUGGUGGUGGUUGUGGAAGUGGAAGUGGCGGCUCGGUUAUCUUGGUGGUUGUGUUGGAUAGUGGUGGUGUCAGUGGCGGUUGGUUGUGGUGGUAGUGGUGAAGGCGACAACAGUGGAUUGAACACUGGCGACGGCGGGUAUUACCAGAAAGCUUGGCACGAUCUGAUCUUGAUGUUUAGACUGAAAUCGAAGCUACACGCCCUCUGGAAUCACCCUGCUGGCCAUAAAACCAGGAAGAUGUAUAGAUUGGCAUGAUAAAUUAUCAAGAUAUCAUUCAAAGGACUUGUGCACGGCUGAAAACCAAGAACAAAUCCGGGUAACAGUACAAAUCUUGCAUUUUUAUCUUUUCAUACUUUUUACCAUUUUAUCAACGAUAUAGUAAUUUUCAAACAAUGUUUUUUUUCAUAUCAAUCUGUAAUCAAAGCUGGGUUAAUCGCUUUCCUGGUUCAUCUCCUCCAGCCUGCUGAAUUUGAUAUAUAAAAAAAAAGCUGUAUGGCCUAUUGCAAAUGCCACUUCUGGUGGCACUAAUGAACAGAUCAAGAUUGUGAUAGUGAGUUUAGAAGAGCUUGAGAACAACUUAAAGGUGGUUGAAGACUUGAAGCUGAGAAAAACUUGGGUAACGGUCGAAAGGAAUCACAAAGUUAUCUUUAAAUAAGUGUGCAUGGAAUGAUGCUACCGGCCAUCUGACCCGUUUGAGACAUAUUACAAUUCUACCGGUUUAUAAACUUGUCAAGGUACAAAUUUCAAAGUUCUAAAAAACUUGACCCGAUCUCUAGUGUGGGUGUGGGUGAAAAUGAGAAUGCCACAAGUGUUGUAGGUUGCGAAAGCAUUAUGGUGUUACUAUGAGGCGACAAAAAUGACGCACCCGCUGCAACGCGCGGGCAUUCCCACUAGUACUUUAGCAUGUAAAACAUAGACUACCAUUGAGAAUCAAAUAAAAUAGAUUUAUGUAACCACCACCAUCUCCGACCAAAUCUACGCCCGUACUAAAUCUCAAUCUUGUUAUUUUUUAUUUUCUAUAUUUGUUCAGAUUUGCUACUUUCCAUCACUUCUAGUUAUUCAGUUUG